This 259-nucleotide unclassified non-coding RNA is filed under the name Hevea brasiliensis (rubber tree). Lineage: Eukaryota; Viridiplantae; Streptophyta; Magnoliopsida; Malpighiales; Euphorbiaceae. The record is from RNAcentral.
GUUAGAAUCCGAGGCAAAUUCGUACAUGAUCUACCUGGUGUAAUAUAACUCCAAAGGGAGGUGGAAAGGGUAUUGAUUGGGAGAGCUCCGUUUGAACGCAACAGUAUAUGUGUAAAGAUUGAAAAAGAGAGAGGGAAGAGUUGGGUACUUUUUGGGGAGGCUACAUUUUUUUGCCUUUUUUUUUUUUUGUUGGGGGGGGCGGCGCGCGCAGGCUGGGGUUGUUCUUGUUGGGUUUGAUAAAGGGUUGGCUUUAUAGCAU